This is an RNA transcript of Mauremys mutica (yellowpond turtle), 2645 nucleotides long. It is a transcript of the gene named MAF bZIP transcription factor, with no coding region annotated. The record is from RefSeq and is a predicted model, not a curated record. The transcript is spliced from 7 exons. NCBI's taxonomy places the organism in Eukaryota, Metazoa, Chordata, Testudines, Geoemydidae.
CUUUUAAACUCUACUGCUGGAUGAGACCUUUAAAAUGUUUUUCAUCUUCUUGCUGUAGCUUUGGGGUUCCGUUUUUUCUUUCUUUCUUUUUUUUUGAAAGAAAAAAUAUUUUGGUUAUCGCGCCAACUUAAUUUCUUCUCUUUUUUUUUGUUUUAAUUUAUCCUUCAGUAUUUUUCCCCUCCUCCUCUUCCCCGAUGAACCUCUUCUCGGUUUGCACUUUGCAUGAAAAAGACCAGAGGAAAGACAUCAUGAAGUGUUAAAAAAUAAUCACAAAGCCACCUUUGCAGCAGCAACAACAACUAACAAUUCCAGCUGCAGUUUGCCAAGCUGCAAAAGAGAGAACCAACCUUUAUGCAAAAGGCGACUAGAAAGAGCAACCCGCUCUGAUGCAUCAUCAAUACUAUAGGCUCUGCAAAGGAUAAUAAAGAGAGAGAGAGAGAGAGAAACAGUCGGUGCAAAUUGGAGCGAAGGUUGCAAGGGGCUGGUGGCGAGAGAGAAGGAAAAUAGAUAUUGCAAAUAAUCACGCUGGCUCACCCGGUUGCAACUCAGAGCAGCCCCCUCGCUCCUGGUGCGCACCCUUUCUGGAGGACUGUCAGCAGCAAAAGGAUGGCAUCAGAACUGGCAAUGAGCAACUCCGACCUGCCCACCAGUCCCCUGGCCAUGGAAUAUGUUAAUGACUUCGAUCUGAUGAAGUUUGAAGUGAAAAAGGAGCCGGUGGAGACCGAUCGCAUUAUCAGCCAGUGCGGCCGCUUGAUCGCUGGGGGAUCGCUCUCUUCCACCCCGAUGAGCACGCCCUGCAGCUCGGUGCCCCCUUCCCCGAGCUUCUCGGCGCCCAGCCCGGGCUCUGGCACGGACCAGAAGACCCACCUGGAAGAUUAUUACUGGAUGACCGGCUACCCGCAGCAGCUCAACCCAGAAGCGUUGGGAUUCAGCCCCGAAGACGCGGUGGAAGCGCUGAUCAACAGCAGCCACCACCAGCUCCAGAGCAGCUUCGAUGGCUAUGCUAGAGGGCAGCAGCUGGCCGCCGCGGCGGCCGGCACUGGGGGCUCCAUGCCCGGGGAAGAGAUGGGCUCUGCCGCCGCCGUGGUCUCCGCAGUGAUCGCUGCAGCCGCGGCUCAGAACGGGGCACCCCACUACCACCACCAUCACCACCCGGCUGGGCACCACCACCACCAGCAGCCGGGCAGCGUGCAGUCCAGCAGCAGUAGCAGCAGCAGCAGCAGCACCGGGGGAGGAGGUGGCGGAGGGGGUCUGCACCACCAGCACCACAGCAGCAGCCUGCAUUUCGACGACCGCUUCUCGGAUGAGCAGCUGGUGACCAUGUCGGUGAGGGAGCUGAACAGGCAGCUCCGAGGGGUGAGCAAGGAAGAGGUGAUCCGGCUGAAACAGAAGAGGAGGACCCUCAAAAACAGAGGCUAUGCCCAGUCCUGUCGCUUCAAGCGGGUCCAGCAAAGGCACGUCCUGGAGUCAGAGAAGAACCAGCUGCUGCAGCAAGUAGAGCACCUAAAGCAAGAGAUCUCCAGGCUGGUCCGGGAGAGGGACGCCUACAAGGAAAAAUAUGAGAAGCUGGUCAGCAAUGGCUUCAGAGAAAACGGAUCCAGCAGCGACAACCCUUCCUCUCCAGAGUUUUUCAUGUACCCAAGAGAAUCUUCUACAUCGGUGAUGUGAAAAUGCCUGUUGCCUGAAGUAAAAAAAAAAAAAGAAGAUGGAGAAUCCUCUGUGUGCCAAGUUUCAGCCUGAAGCAAAUUCAAAUGGGAUUCACCGCAAAUGCUAAAAGGCAGAAGAUUCCUCAACACUCAACUGCUGGAUUUGAGAGCACAGGAUUUGUAUAUAGAAAUCAGGAGCUGGGAAGGCAUGGCUGCUCCAAGCACCCCCAUGAAAAUGCAAGAUGGAGGAAGAAGGCUAAUUAGUUUCCCUGAGGAUCCUGGACCAGAAAAAUGAUGCUGGAAUGCUGAUGGCUUAAGACAACUUUUUGGCAUGAAGACAGCUACAAAGCACAAAAAACAAAAUAUGAACUCAGAAAGAAACAAGAAAAAAAAACAGCAUUUUCAUGGCAUCGACAAGAAGCUCUUUAUUUUUCCUCAAGUUUUCUUUUCUAAAAAAAAAAUGGAACUAAAACAUUUGCAGAAACAAGACAAACUUUCUCUUCAGGUGACAAUAUUCAAGCAUGUUCUUUUACUAAAUUUAAAUUGAAAGAAAAAAAGAAAUUUUGAACAGGAUGCAGUAUCUGGAGAACUGUGAACCUUCAAAGACAACAAAACAAACUCUUUAAAACUGUGAACCAAGAAAUGGAAGGAACAACUUUUAAACCCCUGAUUACACCCUGUGUGUUAAGGAGACAACAUCAUCUUUUCCUAAAGCAACAAUAUUUAGGGAAUGGUUUGCAACGUACCCUUUAUUAUAAUCUUUUAAGGAAAACCUGCAUAUUUAAUGAUUAGCAGUGGAGUAAAUCUGACUUCACCAUUUCUGUUCAAAUGUCUUCUUGCACCUUCCUUUUCUAGACAGCACAGUUAUAUUUGCAGCCAGCGGCCAAGGGCAGGGAAGCUUGCUUUCUUUAUUACUAUUAAUUUUGUUUUUUAUUUGCCACACCCAAUAAAAACUUAGUAGGGAAAAGAAUAAACAGCUCUAUCAUCUCCUGAUCAGUG